This is a long non-coding RNA of Solanum lycopersicum (tomato), 621 nucleotides long. RefSeq lists it as uncharacterized. Lineage: Eukaryota; Viridiplantae; Streptophyta; Magnoliopsida; Solanales; Solanaceae. The record is from RefSeq and is a predicted model, not a curated record.
AAAAAAACUAUGUUGCUAUAGAUAGUAAUAUUUUUCAAAUAUGGAAUACUCGAGUGAUUUUCCCUAAAAAGUUUUGCUUCAAUAUUAGCUGUGCCCAAUGAAUUUAGCCCACAACUUUUUUGUUAAAAAAGUAACAUUCAGCAAAAAUUGAAGACCACAUGAUAAGAUCAGUAAGUGCAAAAACUUGUAUUAUAGUCUAUUCAAAAUUCCAACACCUCAGAUUCAGUUGGAGAAUCGAUUUUAGUAUCUUCUGACUGCAUGGUGGUGGUGGUCAAAGGGAGAUAGUGCAUCAAGUGGUUCAUUCGCAAGGGGCUAUUUGAUCACAGAGCUUAGCAAUAAAAUGGUCAUUUUUUUCAUUAAUGAUGGUGUCUGAUCUAGUCAGGAUGCACCUUGAUGAAUCCACAUGGUACUUGCAGCCUUCCAUCAGCACAACUACUAUCACCAUUCACCAAGGCUAAGGGAAAUGAGAAAAUUUUGAAUACUGUCACCUCCGAUGGAAUUUGAACAUAUCAAAGAAACACAUUGUGUUCAUGCUUAUAAAUGACUUUGUAAUAAAUCUCAGAAUAAGGGGUGAAAUUUGGAUUACUAAAUUUAUGUUACCCUAAAAGUUGCUUAGUGUCA